This 1105-nucleotide long non-coding RNA is filed under the name Citrus x clementina. RNAcentral's name for it is "Citrus clementina (C. clementina) long non-coding RNA (CCLE_LNC002016)". Lineage: Eukaryota; Viridiplantae; Streptophyta; Magnoliopsida; Sapindales; Rutaceae. The record is from RNAcentral.
CCCUCCACAUGUAAAGCCACCUUUCCACCCCAAACCACCGCAUCACAAGCCACCCCAUGUCAAACCACCGCACAAGCCCCCGUAUGUUCCUAAACCACCUUAUUCCCCAAGCCCUAAACCGCCUUACGUGCCAAAACCACCUCAUACUCCAGUCCCUAGGCCACCAUAUUUCCCCAAACCACCUUACACACCAAGGCCUAAGCCACCAUAUGCGCCAAAACCACCUUAUACGCCAACCCCUAAGCCACCAUAUUUCCCCAAACCACCUUACACACCAAGGCCGAAGCCACCAUAUGUGCCAAAACCACCUUAUACGCCAGCCCCUAAGCCACCAUAUUUUCCCAAACCACCUUACACACCAAGGCCUAAGCCACCAUAUGCACCAAAACCACCUUAUACGCCAACACCUAAGCCACCAUAUUUCCCCAAACCACCUUACACACCAAGGCCUAAGCCACCGUACGUGCCAAAACCACCGUACACACCAAGGCCUAAGCCACCGUACGUGCCAAAACCACCAUACACACCAACCCCUAAGCCACCGUACGUGCCAAAACCACCUUACACCCCAACCCCUAAGCCACCGUACGUGCCAAAACCACCGUAUACCCCAACUCCUAAGCCACCGUACGUCCCAUCGCCACCUUAUACCCCUCGCCCUAAACCACCGUAUGUACCAUCACCACCUUAUACCCCUAGCCCUAAACCACCGUAUGUGCCAUCACCACCAUAUACCCCAAGCCCUACCCCACCAUAUGUACCAUCACCACCGUAUACCCCAAGCCCACCAUAUGUACCAUCACCACCGUAUACCCCAAGCCCUAGCCCACCACCACCACCAAGUGGAACACCGUGUCCUCCGCCGCCGCCACCAAAGGUGAGACCGUACCCUCCACCACCAUCACAAACUUGUCCCAUUGAUACUCUCAAGCUUGGUGCAUGCGUCGACGUGUUGGGCGGUCUAAUACACAUCGGUAUAGGCAGCAGUGCAAAGGACGCUUGCUGCCCCGUGCUGCAGGGGCUACUGGACUUGGAUGCUGCAUUAUGUCUUUGCACCACCAUUAAACUUAAGCUUUUGAAUAUCAAUCUUAUUAUACCGAUCGCC